CGAAAUACACCCUCAUUGAAUUAUUUGUUAUUUUCGUUAAAUUUUUUAAAUUUUAUUAAAAGUCAGCAGGGACAAAUUACAAUUAUAUUAUGAGCAAAUGAAAAAUUUGAUUGAAAUUGAACAUUUCAAAUGAAGCACCAUGUCGCUGCCACGGGCUCCUUUGCUGUGACUAGCUGGUCAAAGGAAUAGAUUUAAUUUGUAGUGAAAACUGAAAAAUAAAUGGAGUGCAAGGUGAAACAAAUUUAAUAAUAAUUUCCAUAAACAAAUUGAUACUCCUUAGUCCUUACAAUUUUUUAAAGAAAAGAAAAUUCCCUUACUCGUUUCACCUAUUUCCUCGCACCUUCGUUAAUAUUAAUCUCUUUACUCUUCUUCUUCAGCUUUAGCCCCUGUUCAAGAAACUUCCCAAUUCCCAACGUUUCUCAGAACCUCAGACUAUAAAAUCCCAAAAAACAAAACCGCGUAAAAAUUAGCCAUUUAGCAUAAUUAUCCAAAAAGUCAAGUCACCGUCAAACACNNNNN
RNAcentral lists this long non-coding RNA (519 nucleotides) under Citrus sinensis (sweet orange). RNAcentral's name for it is "long non-coding RNA (CSIN_LNC001765)". The record is from RNAcentral. Lineage: Eukaryota; Viridiplantae; Streptophyta; Magnoliopsida; Sapindales; Rutaceae.